AUGGGAGGCAGCAGUGGGGAAUAUUGGACAAUGGGGGAAACCCUGAUCCAGCGACGCCGCGUGAGUGAAGAAGUAUUUCGGUAUGUAAAGCUCUAUCAGCAGGGAAGAUAAUGACGGUACCUGACUAAGAAGCCCCGGCUAACUACGUGCCAGCAGCCGCGGUAAUACGUAGGGGGCAAGUGUUAUCCGGAUUUACUGGGUGUAAAGGGAGCGUAGACGGUAUGGCAAGUCUGAUGUGAAAACCCGGGGCUCAACCCCGGGACUGCAUUGGAAACUGUCAAACUAGAGUGCAGGAGGGGUAAGUGGAAUUCCUAGUGUAGCGGUGAAAUGCGUAGAUAUUAGGAGGAACACCGGUGGCGAAGGCGGCUUACUGGACUGUAACUGACGUUGAGGCCCGAAAGCGUGGGGAGCAAACAGGAUUAGAUACCCUGGUA
Molecule: ribosomal RNA, 434 nt
Filed under: uncultured Lachnospiraceae bacterium
Lineage: Bacteria; Bacillati; Bacillota; Clostridia; Lachnospirales; Lachnospiraceae
Description: partial 16S ribosomal RNA
Rfam family: Bacterial small subunit ribosomal RNA
Source: RNAcentral